RNAcentral lists this long non-coding RNA (248 nucleotides) under Mytilus galloprovincialis (Mediterranean mussel). The record is from RNAcentral. Lineage: Eukaryota; Metazoa; Mollusca; Bivalvia; Mytilida; Mytilidae.
UUCUCCCGUUUCCCCGAAGAUAUCGUUUUAACCACGUUUUCCAGCAGGAUAACCGGCACGUGGCACACGAUGACCUUUUUUAAGAAUAACCAUAUUCGUGUGUUGCCUUGGUCAGCAAUGUCUCCAGAUUUAUCGCCAAUUGAACAUCUUUGGGACGAUAUUCAACGACGUAUCAGAAAUAGCCAAAAUCCACCGGAAACGCUCGCCCAGCUCCGAACAGCUCUUUUCAGGGAAUGAAACAACAUCCA